AAGGGACCGGUGGUCAUAGGAUAUGUAGUGUUAGUGUUGGGUAUGGGUAAUGAUAACGAUGGAGCUUGUGUAUAUGGAGGAGAGUACAUAAGAGGCAAUGGGUGUGGGUGCAUCAUAUUGGGGGUGGGGGUGCCUGGAGGUGGAGGUGUAGGGUAGGGUGAGUGAGGUGAAGAAGGUGGUCUUGGGUGAAGAGUCAUAUUCAUUUGCCAUGGGGUGGGCCCAGGAGGAGGUAGAGCAAUGUUCAUGGGCAUUGGUGCAACACGGACAACAGGUGGCGAUGGGUUAAAUGGAGUAGCUGAUGCAGACAACCUCUUGUUUUGGGGUUCUUGACUUUGAUUUGGUUUUACAUUUUCUGUCUCCGUCUCUAUACUGGCAUUGGAGGGAACAAUUGGAAUUGGCAUGUCGAUUAUUACACUCUUGUCUAUUACCUUAUCAACCUCCACCACAUCUGCAAUUGCUCCUAAAUGAGUUUCUUCUGUUUCGUCUUUCGUAUCCACUUUCUCAAAAAUCUCUUCUUCCGCUUCUUUAACAACAGAUUCCUCGUGCUUACCGUUAUCGAUUUCCUUAUCAUCAGGAAUAAUGUCAUCAUCCCUGUCCGUGACCUGCAACAGAGAAAUGGAACCUGGUGGGGCCACGGCUACUUCUUUGUAAGAAGGAGAUUUUCCAAUGCUAAUCAUGGAUCUUCUCUGUGUCUGUGGUACUGAUGAUGCUUCUUUUGUUGUUUGUUCAGAUGACGAAGAAUUAGAAUUAGUUUCUUCCACAGGCACAUGGACCGAGGACUUAACUCUGUAUGUCAAACCUUUGACAAUUCUACGCCCAAAUUUAUUAUGAUUAGGAGUUGCAGUGUGGUAGUCAACAUAAGUUGAAGGAGACAUCACUCGUUUCUUUACAAAGUGAUACCUUCCAGUUCCAUUUUCAGACUCAUGAACAACACCUUUCUUUUGAUAGCCGUAAACCUUGUUGAGACUCGUUGUUGCUUUCCUCUGUCUUAGUCGACGUCCAUAUGAGCCUGCUGAUCUUGGCCUUUGAACCGCUUGCCACCCUUCUUCUCCUCCUCCUCCUUCAUUACUACCAGGGUUAGGGUUUUGUGCACCAGUUUCCUCUGGUGGCUGAAGCUCAGAAGCAACUGGAACUGGUGUUUCUUCCUUGAUUGGUGGUAUCGACUCAACAAAUAGAGAGGUGGAUUCUUGAUUCACUUGAAUCUCAUGUUCAAGGGCCGCCUCUUCAUCUGUAACUUGUUUCAGAAGAUCUUUUGGAGAUGCCUCCUCAGCAUUUGCCACCUCCAAGGUUUGGUAGCUUUUUCCCUUCAACUGGAAAUGAAAUAUGUCGUCGUAUACUUAGAUAUGUUUUCCUUAUUAUGAAUAUCAUAAUAUAUGUAAUGCAAGUGAGCAUACCUUCUGGAUAUAGGUUUUACGUUUUAAACCCAUACCAUCAGUCCCUUGCCCAUCAUGACUUGGAUUGAUAUAGUCAAGCAAAUCCGAUACACUGCCCAUCAUCAUUUACACAAAUCAUUUAUUGGUUUGGUUUGGUUUGGUUUGAAAUGAAUUGAAUGAAAUCAUUUAAACAUACCUAAGAUGACCUUUGCUAGCUAUGGAUGCAUCGGGUUUCCGAGUCCCAUUUCUUGCAGCUUCUUGUUGUUCAAGAGCCUUUGAUUCAAAAUACUCGAGCCAAGCAGCAGCAUCCUGUGUGCGUAGAUCAUCUGGCCCAAGUUUUGCACGUAGUAUCUGCAAGGUUGUUUGUUCAUGCUGAACACUCAGAGGAUAAGCUUCCAUUAAAGAGAGAGCAAUUGCGAUUGCAUGGUAACUUGCAGCAGUCUACAAAACAAAAGGAGCAUGGUUAAUCUUGUCACCAUGUAGACUCCUGUUUUUAUGGGGGGGUGGGGGGUGGGAAUUUAACAGGUAAAUAAGCAACCUGGAUAUGGUCUGGCCCAAGUAACUUUUGGUUGCACUUGAGAGCUUUAUGAAGAUAUCUGAGGGCGACAUGGACAUUUCCCAAACCUUCCUCCAUCAUAGCUACAUUGAUGUACGUGGCAGCAGUAUUUGGAUGUGAUGGGCCACAUGUAAGAUGUAGCAAAUACAAUGCUCGUUUUACAUACCUGAUAUUGUAGUAGGUAAGAAAACAAACUUGUAUUAAAGGGGACAAAAAAAAAACAUACUUGAGAGCCAACUCUGUAUGUUGAAGUCGAUAGUAGAACACUGCAAGAUCCCCAUAGCUUUUCAUGGUAUCUGGAUGAUCCAAUCCCAGUUCUCUCUCAUUGAUGUCCAAAGCUUUUUGUUGGUAGAUUGUGGCCUGCAAUUCAAUCCAAUCCAAUCAAUCUAAGAGCUUGAAAGACAGACAAAACAACAAAAUAGUAUAUCUAUAUUCCCCAUUAAUAUUAAUAAAUAAAUAAUAACAAAUCAAAACCUGGUUGAAGUCCCCAGUGUGAUACAAAACCACAGCAAGGAGACUGUAAGCUCCUGCAGUUAUUCGAUGAUAAGGACCACAUACUGCAACUAGCUUUGCAAGAGCCUGUAAGAAGGAAUAAGUAAUAACAUGUUAGGUCAUGCUAAUAUAUUUAAAAAAAAACUUGUGCCAAAUGUGACACUCGUACCUUUGUCCCAUAACUAACUGCAUCUUCUAGCUUUCCCUUGUCGAGGGCAGUUUUUGAUGAUUCCAGGAGUUGGCGUCCAUCAGCAGAUGAGCAUGCUGCUUGCUGCAACAUAAUACAACAAAUCGAUACAUGAAACAAUNNNNNNNNNNNNNNNNNNNNNNNNNNNNNNNNNNNNNNNNNNNNNNNNNNNNNNNNNNNNNNNNNNNNNNNNNNNNNNNNNNNNNNNNNNNNNNNNNNNNNNNNNNNNNNNNNNNNUAGAGAUAAAAAAAAAUAUAUAUAUAUAUAUAUAUAUAUAUAUAUAUAUUUAUAUAUAAACUGACUUGAAUGGUUGUAAGACAAUGAGCAAUCAAUUGUUAAUUGAUCACCUUAUGCACUGGUACUAAGCUGAUGAUGUCCUCCUUUUUGAAAGGCUGUGGAGAGUUCAUAUCAAAAUCUCUUGGAACCAGCUCAAUGCCAACCUGGAAAAUCGGUACAAUACAAAUUUGUUUGCAAUGUUAAGGAUACUUGAGGGAGGAAGGGUACAUUCAGUUCUGUAUGAAUCAAUUACCUUAUGGCAUAACCCACGUAGUAUAGCAAUUUUUCUAAGCUCUGUGUAGUUAAAGCUGGCAAGAUCCCAGUCAAAUCGCUUCUUCAAGAAAACUUCUAGCCAUGUCUUUGUUACAGAAUCAACACAAGAUUUUUUACUUUUAGGAACCCCAAGCAUCAGAUUCAGUGCAGCAGCAAUUCCAGCAGCCAUUUCCUCUGGUUUAGAAACAGCAGCAAUCACUGCCUGUAUAAUGUGCUUAAAAGCUCGUACUAUCAUCUCAUGUAUACAUAGAGAUUGCACAUGUGAUAAUUUUUCUGACAACUUAACCUGAUCAAACACAAAAACAGCAAGCAUUAGUCACUGUAAAGCCUUCUAAGUUGCAGAUACCACAGAAUAUAAUAAAUGAAAAAUAACUAACCACUUGUCCUAAAGAACGCAUGCGGAGACCUCGUGUGUGCAUAAAAUCAGUUAGAGUUCGCCCAUCAACUGGUGAUAGUUCCAAAGAACCAAAAUCUGCAACCUACAUAUGACAAUCAAGCGCAAUAAUCUGUCAGUUAUCACACUUACAUUAAUUAGAAACCUAAUAAGAUGAUGCUUUUAGCUAUGUAAUGUAGUUACCAAUUUCGGAAGAGCAACUUCGUUGUAAUAUUUUUGAGAUUGGUCAAUCAGCUCCAGCAAAGACUACAAAUAACAAGCACCGAGUUAAUAUGCAAUACUAUACAAAUAUGUACACAUAUAAUACUUUAAUUUUAACACCACCUUGCAGUGGAGCCCAGUUUCUGACUCUUUAAGCCGAGUAAAAGCAGCAUCAGAUAACAAUUUUUUUAAAGCAUUCUCAUUUUCAUCUGAAUUGGGAGAUUCUACAACAAAGUCUAACACAGAAUUCUCGACUUCCCCAUUCACAACAUCAACAACUUUUGUGCUCCCCUCCAAAUCUUUUUUCUUGUUUUUUAAAGAUCGAAGAGCUGUCCCGAGCCCUUCAACCUUCACCUUUUCAGUAGAAGCUUUCUUGUCUUUUUCUGUUUUCUUUUGAUCUUGUAAAUGUUGUAUCCAGCAAGCUCCAAGUUCCCAUCUUGUAAACUUGUCAGAUUCAACACACUCUUCCUGAAGCUUCAUUAAACUCUCCUUUAAUAGUUUCUCCACAAGGACUCGAGAAGUACCGAGCUCUUCGCCUUCAGAUCUUUUCAAAUUAGGAAGAAUGCUACUUGCUUUUUUAUGAAGCAGCAACCUCAAACUACAAGAAAUAAGCUUACAGUGAGCAUUAACAUGGUAAGUGGCACAAAUGUAAUAUAUGCCAAUGUGAAGAAAAACCUGUUGAUAUUGAGUGCGCAUGCUCCUCCAUCAGGCUGAUCGAGAAGCUCAAUGUAUGGCAAUGGAGAUUGUUUCUUGUCAUCUUCUCUCUCCUCAACUUUCACGACAGCAGUAUAACCACAAUACCUUACAUUCACAACACCAAGAGUAGCUAUAUCCUGGUUUUCAAACAGAAAACUCACACAUUAAUAAAAUAGAAUAAAAAAAAAGAACAUGAAAUCAAGAUGAUUGGAAUUGAAGGAUCAUCUUACAUGAGCAGCAGUGUUCUCAUCCGCAGUGAUCCCUUUCAGUAGGUUUCUCUCCACCAAAUUUUCUUUCUCCACCCCAGUUGCUUGAGAUCCAUCAAUCUUUGUAUCUAUUUUGCAGCUAGCAUCAGGAGUAUCCUUAUAGACUCUGAUUCUCAAGUCCCCGAUGCUCUCCGUAUGUAUAGUGUCAUCACUACUUAAAUCAGAAUGAUUUAUGUUUGGGUUUUCCAUUAUAUGUUGAAUGGCUAAAAUAGCUUUGAAAAUGGCAACAUCGACAAAUAAGCUAUGCAAUAGGAAAGCUUUCCUGUCUCGAAUCUGCCUAUCUUCUGCAGUUUUGCAAGACAUAGAUGCAACAUACAUGAAUUCACUAGCCCAAGGAUGCAAAUCACUUUUUCCAUCCCUUCCCAGACCACCCCCAUUUCCUCCCCAAUUCUCAUCCUCUGUAGGAAGAGGUGGGAAACCCGAAGGCACUUGUGCUGCAACAGGAGGUAUGAGCCAUGUAUUGGCUCUGAACCCAUACGGGAGAUUUCCAAACUGCAGGAGUAGUUAAAACAACUGUUAACAAACAAACGUCCAUUAAUUGACCUUAAUCAAUCAUUAUUUCCACUCCAGAAGUGUACCUUGUUCCUUUCCGUGAAUGCUUUAAUGAGGUCCUCAUAAGCCUGAAAUGAUAGGUACCGCUUGUUCAAAUAGGCAAGUAUAUGGACAACCAAAAUUAAGGCUAUAUGGAAACCGUGAAGAUGAUAUCUUUAGAAACUUACAUUCUCAAAUGCCCUGCUAAGUCGCCGCAACAAAUCAACAAGGUUGUGACAUAAAAUUCGCUGCUUCCCGAUGCUGCAAAAUCCUUUUCGAUAGACUUCUAUAUGGAUUGGCUUUCCAUGGCACAACUUCACCUUUACCAUAAAGUUUAAGUCCUCAGGAAUGUACAAAAAUAACACAUGUUUUACAAAAGAAAUAAUAAACUGUUGAAGGAUUUUCUUACUUCAAGCGAGAAAAGAUGAUCAUCAAUUAAAAUGUCAUCUUCAUUCUGUCGUGUUGCUCUCCUUACAUCUGCAAAAGAAUUUGCGAUAGAAUGUCAAUGUCAGUAUGAAGGAAUAGACCAAAAAUUAUAGCAAAUUGAUUGUGUAUUUAUGUGUAUGAAUUGUUGAAAGAUCCAAGUAUGUCGUCGAGUGUGCGCAUAGACUUACACUGGAUAGGAGGAGUCAGGUGAGAGAGGGAGAAGAAUUCGUAAAAGCUACCAAGCUUGGGACACGAAUUGCUCAGCUCUCCCUCUCCAUCCACGGAGACAUCUUUCGACUGCGGUUGUCGCGGUGGAGGAGUCAAAGUCGGCAGACUCGUCGACCGCUUAUUGCUUUGUUGCGAUUUGCUCGUCUUCUUUCCGGUCUUGGUUUCCGGCACAUUAGUGCUGAAAUCCUCCUUGACCACCGGCGACGGACCAAACGACGUCGUGCAGGCAACGAUGUCCAACAAUCGUCUGACAUGUGCUGUGGCGGUUUCAACGUCGUAGUCCUCUGUUAUGUAAUAAAUGAAAAAGGUGAGGACAAAAAUGUCAUUCGGGUAUAAGAUCGCGGGGUAGUAACACGUGGCAAUAAUAAAGUGGUUGAUUACCCUCAAUGAGAUUGAGCGUGCAAGGCUUCAAUGCGGCAACGUCGCACGUAUCUUUCAAUCGUGGGCCUCUUACCUGUUAACAUAAGACGGGAAUAUGAAAUGGAUGGAGGAAAAAUGUCAUUUGUUAAUGGGCCAACCGAACCAAUUUGAAAACAUAAGGUGGCCCAUUGGUCAAAUAUAAAAAACCAAUAAAAAAAAACAUUUUCUAUUUUAUAGGGUUUGAUUGUUCUUAUAAGAUGUGAAUGAUUAUUGCUGAUAGAAAUUGAUACAAACAAUUAUAAAAGUCGUACCUCGUGAGAGAGCGAAAAAUUUGUGAUGUUGCAUGUUACUGUGUUCACGGAUAAUAGUCGACGAAUAUCUAUAACUCUAUCUGUCGAUAUUCCCUGCUCAAAUCAGAUAAUAUAAUUACAAGAAAAAUAUCAUAUAUUCAUUUUUUCAGUUUGAAAAUGAAGCAGUGCAAUAACAAAUAAACCAUUGUCUUAUAUAUUUUAUUUAUUUAUUUAUUCUUUGAAAAUACUCUUGUAGUUCAUUGAUUGGGCCCACAUCAAGCUUUCAUAUGAAGUCGGUUUCUUAAUAUUAUCCAUAAAAUGCAUGGUACCAUUGAAUAGGAUUAUUCCAAAAAAAGAUAGUUGAGUUUUAAAGUAUACCGAAAACGAGAUACCCGACUUCUAAUGACCGUAUUUACGUGUUUUCUUGUACACCUCUUGUUUGUAAUUGUAGGUGGCGUUGCUAAAAUGCAUAUAUUUGAAUUUUCGACAGACGAUAUAGGUAACACGUUUCUAUUGACAUAGACACGUAUAGUUCGGACAAUUUUGUAACAAUUUGGUAAUGACAUUUUUGACCUGAUAUAGAAGCAAGUCAUAAACCUUCAAAAUCUUAUCUAACAUUCUAGCUGUCUCCAUGAUAUACUCUUAUUUUUUGUAUGUUUUAUGUAUAAAAAUUAGCCCAUGAUAUCCAAAUAUAUAUAGAAACUCAAAUAUAUAUAUAUAUAUAUAUAUAUAUAUAUAUUAAGUUCAUUAAGUCAAAAAGAAACUAACAAUUAUAAACUUAAAAAGGAUACUUGGGUCCNGUAAUUUCUUGUUUUAGCAAAAGAUAAAGUAAAUCAUAUAGAUUAUAAUGGACAAAUCAAGCCAUUACCCUUUGACUUUUUCUUGUAAAGAAAGAGAAAAUGCCAAAUACGAGUUAGUUAAUUAAUAUAUCAAAAUAAACUAGUUUAUAUAGCAUGUGCCCUAUGAGCUUCAUGACAUGUGAUUAUAAACUAUCAAAGAUGAAUCAAAUUGAAAAAAUGUUAUAACUUUUUGUCAUCGAUUUAUUCAUUCCCAGAUAAGAUUUUCAAAUUAUGUAAACACUAUAAAAUAGUAUUUUUAAGUAAUUGUACAAACCUUCAAUAUAACAUGGGUAUCAUCAGGAAGAUUCACAGUUAUAUCCACAACAACUGGUAGAACUGCAAACGUACACAUUCUUCAUUAAUUAUUUUAGAAAAUAAUUAUUAAUUGAAAAUAUUGUUAUUAAAAAAUAAUAAAAUUAUACCCUUCUCUUCCUUCUUCUUCUUAUCUCCCUUGGUCUUCCCACGUCCAUUCUUGGGCGCCAUUUUUCAAAAGCUCUUGCUUCAAGUAAUUUUCUUACUCUGAAUUACAACAUAAAGUAUUAAAUAAUAAAUAUAUAGUUCUUUAUAUAAAGUAAAUAAAUACAAAAAAUGAAAUAUUUAAUUUUGGAUAAUAUUGACAAAUAAUUGACAGGGUUUCCAAAAAAUAUGUCAUGGAAUUGUGAAAUAACUACAAAGGCCAUGGCAAUCGCCAAAAUUUACCAAAGAGCAUUAAAGAUGUAACUUCAAUAUGAAUUAGAUUAAAGAUAAAUAAUUAAUUGUUUUUUUUUUCUUUUUUUAACAAAGAUGUAUUGUGGACUGACCAAAAUGACCCUGGAAGGUAGAAAGAGUUACAGAAAGAUAGGAUAUACCGAUUGAGCGAUAAAGAUUAUGAAUAUUAAUAUAUUAAUUAUUAAUUAAAUAAAAAAACAAAGAGAAACUCUAUAUAAAUAUAAAGAAUAAGUGAUGGGGUUUUUCAAGAAACGUAAUGGAAUAGUAAAAUGACAAAAAUGACCAUGACCAACAAGCAUAGAGCUAGAAAGAUUGUGGAUUAAACAAAAAAUAAUUACGAGGAAUAAUUUAUGGGUUAUUUCAAGAAAAUGUCGUGGAAUCGUGUGGAUGACGAAAACACCAUCGAGGUUGCAAAGAAUUAACAGAAACCAAUGAAGAUACUGAGCUCAGUACGAAAUAGAAGUACAGGAAAAAAAAGUACCCUUAAAAUUAUGAACAACAAUUUAUGGGGAUUUUUAAGAGAAUGUCGUGGAUUUAUGAAAUUGACAAAAACACCAUCGAGCUUGCAAAGAGCUAACGGAAACCAAUGAAGAUUUUGAAUUUAAUACUAACUAAAUACAAGAAAAAAAAAAACAUCGAAUUUUGGAUAAAAUUAUGAAAGGGUCUUUGCAAGAAAAUGUCAUGGAAUUCUGAAAUGACAAAAAAAGCUAUGUAUAUAGCUAAAGAUUCUUCACUCCAAUAGGUAUCAAAUGACAAAUAACAAAAACAGAGGCAACGGAUUAAACACAAGCAGAAAAAAAAAGUAUAUUUUUUGCCAAAAAUAACGAAGAACAAUUGAUGGAUUUUUGCUAGGAAAUGUCGAGGAGUUGUUGAAUGACAAAAAAGGCCAUGAAUAUGAAAAACAAUUACCAGAAAAGCUUGCAGAGAGCAAUAAGAAUCAGAAGUUUAACAAGUACCCAAUCAGUCAGAAGUAAAAACAGAGCCAAUGGUGUGUAUUAUAUCUCUGUGUUUGUGUUUUUUUAGGGUUUUGUGUGUUUUAGGGUUUUGUGAGUGUUUUUUAGUGUGUGUAUAAAGAGGGCAGGAGGUGGAGCACCAUUAGAGAGAUUGAAAGAUGAAAUUAAGAGAUAUAGAGAGAGAGGGAAAGGGGAAGGAGGAGGAGGUGAGUGGGUGAUAAGGAAGGAAGGGUUGAGAUUUAACGGUCAGAUAUAUAAAUUGGCAGUUUCUGAGCUAUCAUUCUUACUUUGGACCUAUUAUUAUUAUUAUUAUUAUUAUUAUUAUUAUUAUUAUUAUUAUUAUUAUUAUUUUCCAAAUAUAUAAAGAAAUAUGGUAAAUAAUUAUAUAAAUUCUCGGCGACAGAUACUUGAAUUUUUACGUAAAAAAACAACAUAUGUUUCGUGUGAUUCGAUGUAGUAAAAUUAACUGCAUAAAAUAGUAACUUAUUUUAUUAAUCAUUUAUGUAAUUCUUUUUACGUAAAAAAUAACUAGCUUAUAACUUCUUUUAGCAACUAUUUAUAAAUAAACUAUUAUUACAAAUUGACUAAACUGCAAAAUUUGGUCCCCCGUGUAAGAAAAAUAUGAAUGGAGUCCAAAAUCUUUUCAACUCACCAUUGGUCCAAAAUCAUAAUUUUUUUUUGUAGUUUUGUUCAUGAAAAAGUUGAAAAAUACUAUUUUACCUUUUUAAUUUUUUUUUUACAUUUUUUAUAUUUAUUUUAAUCUAUUUUAAUUUUGAAAAAAAAAAAAAAAGCAAAGCUUGCUCACCCACCCCCCCACCGUACCUCUCUCUCUCUCUCAUCGUGUUCUUAAUUUUUCAUCCCAUCCCCACUCCUUUUAUGUUAAUUAUGAGGUCACUUAUCAAAUCCUUUCUGAAUUUCCCUUUAUUCCAACAAACCCACAUAAACAAAAAUUAUUAGAGAAAGGGAUAAUGGAUAAGAAUCAAGAUUGAAGCUUUGUAAUUGGGUUCCAUCUUCCUCACAUCACAUCGAGUUCACACCAAACCUGCAUCACAGAUACCAUCUUCUUCUCCAAGCUACCAUAUCUACAUAUCAACCAUUUUCACCACCGUUUACUGAGAUCCCUACAUCACCAUCUUGACACUCUAUCAUCUCAAUAGCUAACACCAUCACCUGUAAUAAAAAAUAAAACAAAUAAAAAAACACCUUUGUUCUUCCAUGGUAUAACAGACCCGAAAAUCAAUUCCUCUAGGGGAAGAGAUGAGACACAAAUAAGAAAAUCGGUCCAUGUUAAAUCCAUAUUCAAUUGGUGGUGGUUUGGUUUGAAGGAAGCAGUAAGGAGUACGACAUUCAGAUGCUCUGGUGGUUUGAGGCAUCGAAACCCUAAUCGUGGUAAGUUUGAAAGGAGAUGUUGUUUUCCGUAGCGAUGGUGGUCACCCCUUUUAAUAUGUGAAGGGGAUAUCAGAGGGUAUUUAUACCAUAAACCCAUGAGCUUCAAGCGAUUUGGAUUAAUGAUUCCGGCAACCUAUACCGUUUGCUUCUUGUUUUUUCAAACCAACUUAAACCUAAAUUCGAUUAGUUAUGGUUUGUUUGUUGUAAUCUUGAUGGGCGAUGAAGACAGUAGGGACGUCAGAGGAAGAAGGUGUCUCAGAGGAAGAAGCCGAUGGGUUUUUUUUUAUCUUCUGUGUGUGUGUGUGUGUGUGUGAGAAAGAGAGAGAGAGAGAGAGAUGAGAAAGAGAGAGCGAGAGAGAGGGGGAGAGAGAGAGAGAGAGAGAGAGAGAGGCAUGUGAAAGGGUACGGUGGAGGGCUGGGUGAGUUGUCUUUGUUAUUGUUUAUUUAUUUUCAAAAUAAAAAGGAUUAAAAUAAAUAUAAAAAAACUUAAAAAGGAAUUUAAAAGGGUAAAACAGUAUUUUCAACUUUUUCAGGGACCAAAACCACAAAAGGUUUAUGAUUUUGGACCAGUGGUGCAAGUUGAAAAGAUUUUGGACUCUAUCCAUAUUUUUCUACUAACCAUACGGACCAAAUUUGCAGUUUAGUCUUACAAAUUCGUAAAUCGUGAUUUUGCUUUUAGUUCCGUAAAAAGUAAAGGAAAACUAAAAACACGAUAGUAUGUCGUUUAUGUUUUCUUUGAAUUGGGUUCAAAUAGUUUUAUUUUUGUAAAAAAAAAUCAUUUAAGGAGGGUUUAUUUGUGAAUUUUGGCAUGUAUCAAAUUUAACGACUAUUUAGCCCUUUAAUACAUUUAGGCUCCGUUUGAUAUGUGUCUGAUUGAGUCGGGUUAGACAUUUUUUGCUGACUCGGUCAGCAAAAAGUGUUUGAUAAUCCAACUUUAGGCAUCUGACUAGGUAAGAACAAUCUUAUUCGGAUAGAAUGGAGAAAAUAAAUGAUUGAGAAAGGGAGAUAUGUUUCCAAUUUUUACCCUUGCCCUACCGAAGGAAGAAAUCAACGCCUCCAUCGUUUCUUCUCCUCCUUCCUCUUCUCAUCAGCAAUCAUCAACGAUCCUUUUCUCAUCAGUUCUGAUUUUUUUGAAGCCUCCUUCCUCUUCUCACCACGUACGCUUCUUCCUUUCUCCUAUUCUCACAAGUUCUGAUUUUUUUUUAUAAUAUGUGGGUUUAAGUUUGUCUCCCCCUCAUUCAUAAAGGUUUCUCCUGAAGAACCUAAAAAACUGCACGCCUUGUUCUGACCUCAACUUGGUUCUUUAGUCGCCUCACUUUUGUAACAUCCCAAAAUCAUAAUAAAAAUUUUCAUUUUUAAUUUAAGAGAAAUCGUUGUUUUCAAUCAAAUCCAAGUCAUAAAAACCCAAGAUCAAGUACAAAUGUUCCAAAAUCAAUGUAUCACAAUCAUCUCUAAAACAUGUCAUCGAUGGAUAUGUAUGAUUGCUGUAACGCCCGUAGAUCAGGGCUAGUCAAUUUAGAGACGAUAAGCGUAAAAAAAAGAGUUUCUGAUGGAAGAUUAUUUAGAAUGAAUCAUCUUAACUAAGUUGUAGUAUAUGUUACAAGGAUUCCGUACAUAUAAAGAACGCCAAAAUCUGAGUUAUAACGAAGAAGUUAUGACCUGUCGAAGUUUCGCGAUAGAACCGGCACGACACAACGCGACGUAAAAAGUGAAUUUACGUUAGAGCGAUAUUUAGCCUUAGCGAUCUAAAUGAAAGUCAUAGAAUACAUUAAACCGUGAGUGUGCAUAAAAAGAACGUCCAAAUCUGACUUCGUAUGAAGAAUCUAUGAUUUUUCUAAGUUUCAACUUAGCGGUAAGCAGCCCGAAUACUCGAUUUGAGAUCAAGCGGUUUUUAGCCGGAACAAUCUAAACAAGAAUCGAAGAUCACGUUAAUAGUAUUGGAACGAUAAAAAGAUAGGCGAAAACGGACGUCAGAUGAAGAAGUUAUGAAUGUAUAACGAAAUUUUCCUGUCUCGGCCUACUAAAAAUAAAUAAUAAAAAUAAAGUCAAAAUUAGCCGAUGGAGUCUAAAUAAAAGUUGUAGAGCAUGGUCUUACCUACGCGUGGAUAUAAAGAACAUCGAAAACGGAGCUCGUAUGAGAAAGUUACGCAAUUUAGAAGUUUGACGAGUCAAAUUACGCCGAGCGUAAUUUGAGUACGCCCAGCGUACUCAGAGGGGUGCAAGUUGCCUGACCAAUACUCGAGUUCCACCAAGUGACACAUGCAAUGACGUUUAGUACGCCCAACGUAAGGCCUGGUACGCCUAGCGUACUCGAGGUUACGCCCAGCGUAAUCCAAGACCCAACAGCCUAUAAAUAGAACCCGAGAUCAGCCAUUUUCCUUGCUAAUUUUCUUCCUUUCUCUCAAUGUUUUGCGUGCCAAUUAUAUCCCGAAGCCCCGGUAUCAUUCCCGAGUCCCGAAUCAAGUUCCGAAGUGCCGAAGAUCCCGAGGAGCGUUAUUCCCAAGUCGAAUCCCUGCCCGCGAGGAGCCCGGUUUUUGUGAAGAUCUUCCAGAUCUACCGAAGAAUACUACUUCUACAAGCCGUAGUGCUGUCCGAGCAUCGUCUAAUCAAGUGAGUGUGUAGUUACUUUCUUUUAACAUAUAAAUAUGAAGUAUUUUCUAUGAAAUACGUGCUAUGUGUUUAUAUGUUAUUUGUCUAUUUGAGAUGGGCGUGGAAUUGAUGUUUUAUACAGGUGUUAAAUGAUUUAAAUUGUGUAAGUAUUUAUAUCUACGAAAAAUGUUUGGUAGAACAUGGGUGGAUGGGAUAGUUGGUGACUAUGGAGUUAGCGCCUAUUGUAUAAACCUUGGCGACGAUGUGACUUCAUGCCUAUUUCAUGAACCUUGGCGACUAUGGAGUUAGCGCACGUUGAGUAAACCUUGGCGACUAUGGAGUUAGCGCUUGUUAAGUGAACCUUGGUGACUAUGGAGUUAGCGCCUGAUAGCUAUGGAUUUAGUACCUGAUAAAUAAACUUUGGCAGCAAUGGACUUCGUGCCAAUUCCUUAGGUAAAUCCUUAGGAAUAAAUGAAUGAAGGAUAGUUGGUUCUUAGGGUAAAACCUUAAAAAAUAAAGAAGAUAAUGAGGAUGGGUAAUUGGAUUGAUUGUUUGCUGAUUAAAUAUAAUAAUUAUAUUAUUGUGGGUUGAAAACCUUAUAUGCUCACCAGGCUCCCAAGCCUGACCCACUCAGUUUUCUUUGUAUCACAGGUAUCAAUAUGAAGGUAUAUUUCAUGGAGAGAUUAAAGGAGAUGUAAAAUCUUUAGUGUAAUUAAUGUAAGUUUUGUUUAUGCUUAUGUGUCUGUAUCGGAACAUGACAUCCCGAGAUUUUGUUAUAUAAUGAAAAUACUUUACUUUAAGAAAUGCUUUGAUAAAUUCUUAUCAUAUUUUGUUUUGGGAACAAAUUUUGUAACAGUUUUCUUUAUACGAUUACUCUGAUUUUAAAAACAAAGCAUAAACAAAUCGGUAUUUUCUGACCGUGAAAUUGGGGAUGUCACAGUUGGUAUCAGAGCAUUAGUUUAAGCGAACUAGGAAUAUGGAUUUAUUUCUAGACUUAAACUUAGAAUGCUAAGAGAUGAUUGUGAGUUGAGUGUGUCCAUUAUAUUUUAGGUAGUACACCUAAAUUGACACAGACAAUAGUUUAUUUUAGGAAAGAUGCCUAAAAUGCCUUUAAGUGCUAAAUGUUAUAUGUUUGUCAUAUAUGAUAUUAUUUGUUCGGAUCGAUGGUCUGUUGCCGACCGGGUCUGGAAGCCUUAUGUGUUUAGGAUUCUAAGCGUACAUCUACGAUAUUAGAACUAGCAUGUAAACGUUUCAGAAGGAUAUGGAAGAUCGUAAUAUCUAUCGUAAAUAAGGAUCUAAUUUCACCUUAUUCGGUGUAUUGAUCAAGAUGGAAAGAACAAGAAGCGGAGUUGGAAAUGCAAACGAGAAUAGGAAUCAACCACCAGUGAUUAAGCAAAUACUUGUUGUGGCUGUAGCACCUGAGCCAAUAACAAUGGCUGGUGUACAAAUGAUGAUUCAAACAAUGUUGGAUCGUCAGAUGGAGGAGACCAGGCGGUUGCUUCGACAGAAUCAUGAAGAACUGUCAAUUCAAGUGGAAGAGCUCGAAGUAAAUGGAGGGCAUUCGGAAGGGGGGAACUACAGUGGAACCAUUGGUCAAGCCAACCCACCAAUAGUUCGCCAAAACAACCAGGAUGGAGGAAAUGACGGACGUGGGUGCAAGUACAAGGAUUUCAUGGCAUCCAAACCACCGUGUCUUUCUGGGAGCCCGACACCGGUGCAAGUCAUGGACUGGAUCUCCAAAAUAGAGACAAUGUUUGAAAGUUGCAAAUGUUGCAACAGACAGACGACCGCUCUUGCAAUUCCUCUGUUAAAAUUUGGAGUACUGAGUUGGUGGAAGUUAUUGGCUGGUUCGAUGCCCAAGGGGGAAGCUAGCAAGAUGUCUUGGGAAGAGUUUGUGGUGCAACUAAAAAUGCAAUACUGCUCUAAGCAAGAUCUUCUAGAAAUCAACAAUGAGCUCCAGAAUCUAAAGAAGGAAAAUUGAGCGUCACUGAAUACGCUACGAGCUUUACGGAGAAGAUGAAGCUUAUUCCAUACCAAAUUCCAACUAAACUUUCCAAGGUCAACAAGUUUGCCAAUGGAUUACUAGCGGACUUUGGUCUGAUAGUUAAGCAAGCAACCACUUUGAAGGCCGCCAUCUGGGCAGCCAAGAAUGUUGAGACCCAAAUAAAAGAAAAGGGUAUGGAAAGAGCUGAAGUUGGAGAGAAAAUGAAACGUGAAGGAUCUUCAAUAAUCGACAAAGAAAGCAAAUUCUUGAAAUCUGGGGGAAGAGAUGAAGCUAAGUGGUGUGAGAAGUGUAAAAAGAAACACUUCAGGAAAUGUAGCGAGGAUAUGACUUUCUACAAAUGUGGGAAGACAGGGCACUACGCCAACAAGUGCACACCUAUCAAGAAGGUGUGUUAUAGAUGUAACGAAGAAGGGCAUAUUUCUAAAGACUGCCCAAAGAAAAACAGACCUCCACAGCCAAGGGCAUUCCACAUGCUCCUCAAUGAAGUAGAAAAUGAUGGGAGGAUUAAAAGAUGAAGUCUUCGUAUCUAUAUAUAAAGUCUGUAUCAGGAAGUGUAGCCUGUUAGAGGCAUAGUAUAGGGUAAACUUGAACCUUUGUGUAAUCAUUUCAAGAAAUAAUAUAAACCCUGGUUUUGUUAUCUGAUGUGUUGAAUGAUUAUAUGAUUUAUGUAUGGUGACUUGGUUGACUGCGAGACAAUACUUGGGACGAGUAUGAGAAGGUGUGAAUGGUAGUAGAGAUCUAUGCUACCGGAAGCAUAGGACUCACGCUUGGAUCAGGGAAAGUCACAAGGUUACCAAGAAGCUAGUAAUUGAUUUCGUUUUAUUCAAGUUUGUCAUUACCCUUGUUUCGGUAAUGGCUAGUAGGAUGAUGGUUAUUCCGACCCUAGUGGUCAUAUCAAAUUGAGUCCGACUAUGAUGAGAGGUCAUCGGGACACGACUCAUCAGUCUUUUACAAUAGAUAAAGGAAUGUAUUUAUCCUAAGAAGAAGAAGGAGUCCACAAUAAGGAUUUAUUUUGUAACUUGAAGGUUAUGAUUGAAAGUCCAACAUAGUAUGAAAAGCAGAUGAAAGAUUGAGCAUCACGGUUAUUAAUUAGGAUGGAAAUUUAACGUAAAGACUGUUUCGUUGAUGAUUCCGGACGUAAUCAUCCUAAGGGGGAGAUAAUUGUAACGCCCGUAGAUCAGGGCUAGUUAAUUUAGAGACGAUAAGCGUAAAAAAAAUGAGUUUCCGAUGGAAGAUUAUUAGAAUGAAUAAUCUUAACUAAGUUGUAGUAUAUGUUACAAGGAUUCCGUACAUAUAAAAAACGCCGAAAUCCGAGCUAUAACGAAAAAGUUAUGACUUGUCGAAGUUUCGCGACAGAACUGACACGACACAACGCGAACGUAAAAAGUGAAUUUACGUUAGAGCGAUAUUUAGCCUUAGCAAUCUAAACGAACGUCAUAGAAUACGUUAAACCGUGAGCGUGCAUAAAAAGAACGUCCAAAUCUGACUUCAUAUGAAGAAUUUAUGAUUUUUCUAAGUUUCGACUUAGCGGUAAGCAGCCCGAAUACUCGAUUUGAGAUCAAGCGGUUUUUAGCCGAAACAAUCUAAACAAGAAUCGAAUAUCUCGUUAAUAGUAGUAAAACGAUAAAAAGAUAGGAGAAAACGGACGUCAGAUGAAGAAGUUAUGAAUGUAUAACGGAAUUUUCCUGUCCCGGCCUACUAAAAAUAAAUAAUAAAAAUAAAGUCAAAAUUAGCCGAUGGAGUCUAAAUAAAAGUUGUAGAGCAUGGUCUUACCUACGCGUGGAUAUAAAGAACAUCGAAAACGGAGCUCGUAUGAGAAAGUUACGCAAUUUAGAAGUUUGACGAGUCAAAUUACGCCGAGCGUAAUUUGAGUACGCCCAGCGUACUCAGAGGGGUGCAAGUUGCAUGACCAAUACUCGAGUGCCACCAAGUGACGCAUGCAAUGACGUUUAGUACGUCCAGCUUAAGGCUUGGUACACCCAACGUAAUCCCAGACCCAACAACCUAUAAAUAGAACCCGAGAUCAGCCAUUUUCCUUGCUAAUUCUUCCUUUCUCUCUAAGUUUUGCAUCGUUUUGCGUGCCAAUUAUAUCCCGAAGCCCCGGUAUCAUUCUUGAGUCCUGAAGCAAGUUCCGAAGUGUCGAAGAUCCCAAGGAGCGUUAUUCCCAAGUCGAAGCCCUGCCCGCGAGGAGCCCGGUUUUUGUGAAGAUCUUCCAGAUCUACCGAAGAAUACUACUUCUACAAGUCGUAGUGCUGUCCGAGCAUCGUCUAAUCAAGUGAGUGUGUAGUUACUUUCUUCUAACACAUAAAUAUGAAGUAUUUGCUAUGAAAUACGUGCUAUGUGUUUAUAUGUUAUUUGUCUAUUUGAGAUGGACGUGGAAUUGAUGUUUUAUACAGGUGUUAAAUGAUUUAAACUGUGUAAGUAUUUAUAUCUACGAAAAAUGUUUGGUAGAACAUGGGUAGAUGGGAUAGUUGGUGACUAUGGAGUUAGCGCCUAUUGUAUAAACCUUGGCGACGAUGUGACUUCGUGCCUAUUUCAUGAACCUUGGCGACUAUGGAGUUAGCGCACGUUGAGUAAACCUUGGCGACUAUGAAGUUAGCGCUUGUUGAGUAAACCUUGGCGACUAUGGAGUUAGCGCUUGUUAAGUGAACCUUGGUGACUAUGGAGUUAGCGCCUGAUAGCUAUGGAUUUAGUACCUGAUAAAUAAACUUUGGCAGCAAUGGACUUCGUGCCAAUUCCUUAGGUAAAUCCUUAGGAAUAAAUGAAUAAAGGAUAGUUGGUUCUUAGGGUAAAACCUUAAGAAAUAAAAAAGAUAAUGGGGAUGGGUAAUUGGGUUGAUUGUUUGCUGAUUAAAUAUAAUAAUUAUAUUAUUGUGGGUUGAAAACUCUAUAUGCUUACUAGGCUCCCAAGUCUGACCCACUUAGUUUUCUUUGUAUCACAGGUAUCAAUACGAAGGUAUAUUUCACGGAGAGAUUAAAGGAGAUGUAAAAUCUUUAGUGUAAUUAAUGUAAGUUUUGUUUAUGCUUAUGUGUCUGUAUCGGAACAUGACAUCCCGAGAUUUUGUUAUAUAAUGAAAAUACUUUACUUUAAGAAAUGCUUUGAUAAAUUCUUAUCAUAUUUUGUUUUGGGAACAACUUCCGCAACAGUUUUUUUUAAACGAUUACUCUGAUUUUAAAAACAAAGCAUAAACAAAUCGGUCUUUUUUGGCCGUGAAAUUGGGGAUGUCACAAUUACGCCUUUGUUUUCCCCCGAUCGUCUGAAGUACCUGAAACAUAAAACUUAAAAUGCAAGUCAAAGCUUAGUGAGUCCCCCCAAAGUACCACACACGAUCAAUACAAAUAAUAACAUACAUAUAUAAGCUUUCAACCUGACUGGACCGCCUCGCAAGGCCUAUAGCCUAUCUGGACCACUCUUCUGGCCUUACUGGACCGCCUCGCAGGCAUUCAGUCUAUCUGGAUCGCCACGGGUAUCUUGACCUUCAACACAAAGCAAGAUCGUCUCAACCCAACAAACCAUAACAUGUCAACAUAUAAAAUAUAACCAGCAACACAGGUAGUACAAAUCUACAAAUCUAACGCAUACUUGGUGAACACAGGUAACCAUACAAAUCUAUCCAUCUAACACAUACUCAGCAUAGUAUCAAUCCAAUAUACCCGGAUACAUAAUCUAGUGGGUCGGCAUUGGUGUCUUCAACCCACAAAGUACAGUGAAGAAGACUCGCCUUCCAGUCUGAAAGGAUAGUUGAACAGAUCACAACUCAUACUACUGACUCUAUAGUUCACUUAUACAUUAAAUAAUGACAUAGUCUCAAACUAUUGUUCAAAUACCCAAAAUACCACUAAGUCAAACUUGGUCAAAAUCCUGGUCAAAGUCAAGGUAAAAAGGUCAAAGAUUCCAUCUGGGCUGAGUACGCCCUGCGUACUCCCCUGUACGCCCAACGUAGAGGGUUCCCUUCCAAAACACGGGUUCGAUCCCUGAUACGCGCAUGAUACCUCUAGGUACACCCAAGGUACCAGAGUUGAAUAUCUAAAUCACUAUUAAGCUCUUAUUUUGUUAAGCCAAAGCACCAAACUUCAGAUCCACAUAAAAAGGGACGUCUUAAUGAAUAAAGUCUCUUAAUUUAUCCAUUUGCAUACAUACAAGUGUUGGAUUAAUGUCUAAGUCCAUAACUAUAUGUGGUAUGUACUUGACCCAACCCGGCAUGGUCCAUUUGGGUUGCACUUCACCGACACAAUUUAUAUGGAUAGUCUUUUGAGAAUAGUAUAUUUAUGAUUAAUAUUAAUAUAUUAUAAGUUCUAAUAUUAAUAUGGAAUCAUAUUAUUUAAUUAGUAUUGAUCAAGAAUUAAUUUAGAAUUAAUUAAGUGAUCAAAAGUAACUAAUUAAAUAUGGACUCUUAUAUAUAUGGAAUGGUCCAAGUUCAUUUAGGUUGGGCUAAGCUUUUAUGGAUAGUUCAUGGAGCUUUUAACCCAUGGAUCCUAUGUAAAUGAAAGGUCAUGGGUAUUAGGGUUUACAUUGAUGUAACCCUAAUCCUCCAUAAUAUAUAAAGGGGUCCUUGGCUCACAAAAUUGGCACAAGUGUGUGAAAAUAAGAGUGGGCAAUUUUAGUGUGCAUACAUAUUCUCUCAAGUUCUUCCAAGGUGUGUUUUGGUUAUUUGUGAUUCCAUUUGAGGCUUCCACACUAUUGGGGCUAAGCUCUUAAAGCUUGAAGACAUCAAGCUACAUCAAAAGGUAUGUCAUCUAACUAGAACUUUGUAGUAUAGGUGCUUCAUAAUAUGCUAGUUAGGAUGAAACCUUGGAAUAGUUAAUAUUUUCAUGUAUAAUAGAGAAAACAUAGAUCCAAGGUUUAUAGGGUUGCAUGUACACCAUAGGAGUGUUAGAAUGUUCAAAACCCAACAACAAGAGGGUAAAAACUCAAACCCUUGGUCCAAAAGUCAUCCAAAGUACCAAAACUCUUGCAUGGCUCAAAAAGAAUGCCAAAGCUCUCAUUGUUAUGAAUCUAUGAGCUCAAAACUACAAGAAACUAUAUUUCAAGGACCUGGAAUAGUUCACACUCCACUAAAACAAACUAUGGGACCAAAAAUACACACAAACUCUAGACUAACAAUAUCUAAGCAAAUAACACAUCAAGAUCCAAGCUUUAUACCUUCAAAUGAUGCUUGAGGGCAAGAUACUUUUGGAUCCAAGAUUCAUUGAGCUUCCAAGUUGAUUCCAUUUCUUUCUUCUUCCUUCAAGAUCACCAAAAGCACAUUUUCUAGCUCAAAGUGCUCACACAAUUGAUUAGGAUAGGUAAGGGACGAUUUGGGAGGUGGAGGCUGAUGAGGGAAGAGGUCUUGAAGAGAUAAUAAUGUUUAAAUAGGGUUCAAACCCUAUUUCACCCCGAGCCACGUACGCCCUGCUUAUGCUGAGUAUGCCCAACAUACCUGACAAAAACAUGCGAUCUCGCUUAAUGAUCCAAGGGACCAAUUUUGCAAUUUAAUUUCAUUGUAAGGGUAUACACGGGAAAUACCUGGGUCAAGGUGUUACAUAUUCUCUUGCUCCUACGACUCAGGUUGAUUGAAGGGUUCUUAAAUCAUCAGUUUACAUGAGUAAAUAAAUGGAUGUUGUGAAUAAAGUUUAUCCACGAAAUAUAAUAAACAAGCAAAAAGUGUAGAACAACGAGAGGAAGGAAAAGAGGGCAGCAGCUUUGCUGCUAUUACUAGCAACAAAGUCCAGUGGUGAUGGUGUUAUGUGGCUCGAUUUCAUGAUUGGAAUAAUGUAGAUUUCAUUUUCUUCUUGCUUUAUCAUAAUUUUAAAAGCAAUACCAAGCCAACCUCCAAUUUAGGCACUGGUUUUGCUGUAAGGGUUUCCAAUUGUACCCUUGUUGUUUUGAUUUUUAGAUAAUAUAUGAGUUUUCUCUUGAAUGUUAAUUUGUUUCAAGUGAAUUGCUGUUGAUUGUUCGUUGUUUCAACACUAUUUUGCUGUUGAUUUUUGCUGAUAUUUUGAUUUUGUUGUUGAUUUUGCUUUAUGAAUUAGGAGAAAUGGUUAUCAGUUGUUAAUGAGGAUGAAUGGUGGAACGGUGGAGGUAAGGGGUUCUAUAGAUGGAUGGGGUUAUGGUGGAGGUUCAAUAUGGGUGAUAAUGGAGGUUAAAGUGGGGUGAAAAUAUGAUGUUGUAAUAGUGGCAUAGAUGGUGGUGGGAAUGAAGAAGGGUGGUUGUAAAUGUGGUUGUUUAGGUGGGUGAAGA
Molecule: long non-coding RNA, 21251 nt
Filed under: Lactuca sativa (garden lettuce)
Lineage: Eukaryota; Viridiplantae; Streptophyta; Magnoliopsida; Asterales; Asteraceae
Description: long non-coding RNA (LSAT_LNC006968)
Source: RNAcentral